This 433-nucleotide ribosomal RNA is filed under the name uncultured bacterium. RNAcentral's name for it is "partial 16S ribosomal RNA". It matches the Rfam family "Bacterial small subunit ribosomal RNA", at positions 29 to 507 of the family's 1533-position model. The record is from RNAcentral.
AACGAACGCUGGCGGCAUGCCUAACACAUGCAAGUCGAACGAGACCUUCGGGUCUAGUGUCGCACGGGUGCGUAACGCGUGGGAACCUGCCCUUAGGUUCGGAAUAACUCCCCGAAAGGGGUGCUAAUACCGGAUAAUGUCUUCGGACCAAAGAUUUAUCGCCUUUGGAUGGGCCCGCGUUGGAUUAGCUAGUUGGUAGGGUAAAAGCCUACCAAGGCGACGAUCCAUAGCUGGGCUGAGAGGGUGAUCAGCCACACUGGGACUGAGACACGGCCCAGACUCCUACGGGAAGCAGCAGUGGGGAAUAUUGGACAAUGGGCGAAAGCAUGAUCCAGCAAUGCCGCGUGAGGGAUGAAGGCCUUAGGGUUGUAAAGCUCUUUUACCCGGGAUGAUAAUGACAGUACCGGGAGAAUAAGCUCCGGCUAACUCCGUG